AGCAGGCACCAUUCUAAAGAAGGCAAGCGGGUGCGGAUCAUGGCAAGAAACAGGUGAAGUUCAAGUUCUUUCUGAACGGAGGAAUACUGAAGUCUCCAGGCCGACUCCCUCCCCAAGGAUAUCCAAGGCUGAUGUGAAAGUAGAAAAGCCAGAUGAGAAGAAAUUGGAUAAAGAAUCAGAAGAGUCAAAAGGAGAAAAUAAAAUUAAACGACAGAAGAUGCACCCAGUCAUUCAUGUGUCAUCUCAACCCACUGUUGAAUCUCAAUGUGCCCAACAGUAAAUAAAUUAUAUUUAUAUUUCUGGUAGUGAAGAUUUAACUUUUCCUUUUGAUGUUCAUCAUGGGACAUGUAAGUAAAUCUGUGUACAAUAUCAUAUGCCAUUACAUUGAGAAGUACAAGGUAAUUAUCACAUCUGACAUACUAAUUAAAUAAUCACUUCUGUGGUAAAUGAAAAUGGGAGAUACCAUAUACUUGUAGCGCAUUAAAUCUUGUAUUCAAUAGAUGUGUUUCUAAGCAUUUUAGAAUAUUGAAGUUUUAGAUGUCCCUUCUCAGGAAUGAGGGUGUAGAGUGGAGCAGAGAGGAGGCUGAAAUUAAAAGAAAUAAUUGCACAGAUAGCCACUCGCCAGGCUAUCAUGGUUUUAGUAGGAACUCUAGAAGACAUGCAGAAAGCCACAAAAUUUAUUUCAGGUUUUCUUCAAUCUCCCCAAAGAUUAACAACUUCAAACAAGCUAAUCUUAAAGCUACUGUCUUUACUGUACAGAGGACAAUCGGUGGAGGAGAAGAGAGCCAUUUGAAAAUGUGCUGAUUUAUAAUGGCAUUUUUCCCAAUGAACAGGUUGCUAAGAAAGUUGAUACUGUAUAUAUGCAGUUUCGAUCUAUUAAAUUUUAUUCAUAUGCAGACAAUGAUACAGCGAAUGGGUGUGCAGACAUCUCUUUAUCCUAUCCAUUGUACAAACUUCCCUGAGACAUCAGCAAGUGCAGCCCAGAAUAUAUUAACCAUAAUGUAUCUCCCAGAGUCACUGAAAGCACAAUAUGAAAAGCGUUAUUUUCCUAUCUUUUCAAAUCUCCCAAGAAUGUUAAAUAAAUUAUUUCAAAGUGUGGUGACUUACAAGGCCAAACAUUUCUUUUCCAAGAUGCCCACACACACACAGAUGAUGAAUGCCAUCUUUUCAUUUUUAAUAAACCAGACAAUUUGUACUAUCUGGAAAACCUUGUGAUUAAACUUGAGUGUAAUCUGUGAACUGACACCUGCCUAACUACCUUUCUGUUCUCUAACAGUAGCAGGAUGUUUAGAUAGGGGGAUUAGGGAGAAGAGUUGGUAUCCUUUGAAGUAUCCAUUGUUGUUUAAACCUUUUAUUAGACCAUUUUAUAGGGUGCCUAGAUUUAAUUAAUUAUAGAGUCAAAAAGUAUUAAUGUGAUCAUAGUGUUUAUAAAUGUAAUCUUCAGAUUUUGUAAUCUGAUGCUAGUGUUUACAAGUAACAAAUGCAGGGGUGUGUCUUGUACUUAAGGCUAAUCUUUAUAUUAAAUAACAAUCAAAAUUUAGCUUGAGCUUUACUGCAAAUAGUUUGAUAUCCUAUGGAAAAAGUAAAUUAAAAUUGUGAUUCCUGUAAAAUGUUUGAAUUUUUUUCUUUUGAAACCUUUAUUAUUUGUUCCCCAUAAUUUAACUGCCUAAAUUCAGGGUUUGCAGAUUGUUAACUGAACCAUGUAUUUUAAUCAGAAAUGUAGAAAUAAAAUUUGAAUUUGUA
Molecule: long non-coding RNA, 1743 nt
Organism: Pristis pectinata (smalltooth sawfish)
Lineage: Eukaryota; Metazoa; Chordata; Chondrichthyes; Rhinopristiformes; Pristidae
Exons: 2
Source: RefSeq, a predicted model, not a curated record